Molecule: ribosomal RNA, 354 nt
Filed under: uncultured bacterium
Lineage: Bacteria
Description: bacterial SSU rRNA
Rfam family: Bacterial small subunit ribosomal RNA
Source: RNAcentral
GACGAACGCUGGCGGCGUGCUUAACACAUGCAAGUCGAGCGGUAAGGCCCUUUCGGGGGUACACGAGCGGCGAACGGGUGAGUAACACGUGGGUGACCUGCCCUCAGCUCUGGGAUAAGCCUGGGAAACCGGGUCUAAUACUGGAUAUGACUCCAUGACGCAUGUUGUGGGGUGGAAAGCCUUGUGCGGCUGAGGAUGGGCCCGCGGCCUAUCAGCUUGUUGGUGGGGGAUGGCCUACCAAGGCGACGACGGGUAGCCGGCCUGAGAGGGCGACCGGCCACACUGGGACUGAGACACGGCCCAGACUCCUACGGGAGGCAGCAGUGGGGAAUCUUGCGCAAUGGGCGAAAGCCU